Molecule: ribosomal RNA, 443 nt
Filed under: Limnohabitans planktonicus
Lineage: Bacteria; Pseudomonadati; Pseudomonadota; Betaproteobacteria; Burkholderiales; Comamonadaceae
Description: bacterial SSU rRNA
Rfam family: Bacterial small subunit ribosomal RNA
Source: RNAcentral
CCUACGGGAGGCAGCAGUGGGGAAUUUUGGACAAUGGACGCAAGUCUGAUCCAGCCAUUCCGCGUGCAGGAUGAAGGCCCUCGGGUUGUAAACUGCUUUUGUACGGAACGAAAAGGUCUCUAUUAAUACUAGGAGCUCAUGACGGUACCGUAAGAAUAAGCACCGGCUAACUACGUGCCAGCAGCCGCGGUAAUACGUAGGGUGCAAGCGUUAAUCGGAAUUACUGGGCGUAAAGCGUGCGCAGGCGGUUAUGUAAGACAGAGGUGAAAUCCCCGGGCUCAACCUGGGAACGGCCUUUGUGACUGCAUAGCUAGAGUACGGUAGAGGGGGAUGGAAUUCCGCGUGUAGCAGUGAAAUGCGUAGAUAUGCGGAGGAACACCGAUGGCGAAGGCAAUCCCCUGGACCUGUACUGACGCUCAUGCACGAAAGCGUGGGGAGCAAAC